Molecule: ribosomal RNA, 497 nt
Filed under: uncultured bacterium
Lineage: Bacteria
Description: partial 16S ribosomal RNA
Rfam family: Bacterial small subunit ribosomal RNA
Source: RNAcentral
GAUGAACGCUGGCGGCGUGCCUAAUACAUGCAAGUCGAGCGAACAGACGAGGAGCUUGCUCCUCUGACGUUAGCGGCGGACGGGUGAGUAACACGUGGAUAACCUACCUAUAAGACUGGGAUAACUUCGGGAAACCGGAGCUAAUACCGGAUAAUAUAUUGAACCGCAUGGUUCAAUAGUGAAAGACGGUUUUGCUGUCACUUAUAGAUGGAUCCGCGCCGCAUUAGCUAGUUGGUAAGGUAACGGCUUACCAAGGCAACGAUGCGUAGCCGACCUGAGAGGGUGAUCGGCCACACUGGAACUUCGACACGGUCCAGACUCCUACGGGAGGCAGCAGUAGGGAAUCUUCCGCAAUGGGCGAAAGCCUGACGGAGCAACGCCGCGUGAGUGAUGAAGGUCUUCGGAUCGUAAAACUCUGUUAUUAGGGAAGAACAAAUGUGUAAGUAACUAUGCACGUCUUGACGGUACCUAAUCAGAAAGCCACGGCUAACUACGUG